Molecule: long non-coding RNA, 338 nt
Filed under: Manihot esculenta (cassava)
Lineage: Eukaryota; Viridiplantae; Streptophyta; Magnoliopsida; Malpighiales; Euphorbiaceae
Description: long non-coding RNA (MESC_LNC003386)
Source: RNAcentral
UCUGCAAGUGGUGUGAGGACCUUUGUGUUGAAUUGUGUAAUGACUGUUUUGCCCCUGGAAUGAAAUGAGUAGCCCUUUUAUCAAAAUAUUUGUGCCUACAUGUAAUACUUUGGUUGCUUAUGCCUUUAUGCUUGUUGGAUGUGGAUAUUUGCUCGAUAUGUAUUUAUCUUGCUCGCUUUAAUUGCAUUCUAGCCUCUUGGCUAACCAACAUGCUUCGUUGUGCAGAUUAACGUGUAGACAGAUCGGCUGACUUGUCUUGAUAGUGUUCAAGUCAAGUGCCACACGGUCCUAACUGAGUGCCAAAGCCUGGGCCCGUGACAUUUGGAGUAUUUUGUAAU